UGUGUUACCCGGUGGAUGUCCAUGAGUUCAGCUGAAAUUCGAAGGAGGGUUAGAACAUUGAUUCUUUGUUGUCUAGAUUUGAGUAAGUCAUUCUUUCUUUCACCCUGCAUGUGUGUCCACGAUGUUUGAAUCCUUAUAAAAUCUUAUCUGCCAUGUAGCUAAAGCUGAAGUGGAGAAAAAUAAGUUGCUCCUGAUGGUUUUUUAGUAAUGGCAGAUGAGUUCAAGUGCUUAGUUUUCAAAUCUGUUCCCUAACCCUUGAUUUUUGCUGGAGUACCUUUUUGUUGGCUGAUCUAGCUUAGGCUAGUUAGCAUUCUCACAGUUGUUGUACCUAUGAUCCGACCACAAACUAUCUUGUAAUUAACAUAGCUGUGAGGCACUGUGGUCUUUUUAUUACUUGUUAUUAUGGAUGCCUGUAUGUAGUGUUUAUCUUCCUUGCUCUAACUCUUAUGAAUGGUAUCUGUUCUUUAUCUACACUUAGUAUCUUUUUUUCUUUGCUUGGUAGCUGAUGAAAAUUGUUGUAUUGUAUUAUCUGCUCUUGCUCAAUUGCCAAAUUAGCCAUGAAGCCUGCUAAUUGAUUGGCCUCUCUGAAAAUAUGCUUUAUGUUGAUGUUCACUUAAGCCAUAAGACCUCUAAUUUCCUCUAUCCUUUCACUUAGAGUUCGCUGUAUUUUUCACACCCCUUAAACAUAUUACUAAUUCCCAAGGAUUCAGUCUCUAAAUGAAUAUGCAAUAGAUUUUGAGAGAAACAAUACUCUAUGGCCUUUUGAAAAGCAAUAGAUUCAACUUCUAUGUUGUUAUUGAGUCCUAUGUUGUGAGCCUCUACAUAGAUUAAAUUGCCUUCACUAUCUCGUAUGCAAAAGCCGUAAGAGCUCAUACCUGAGUUUUCUUUACUGGCACCAUCCAUGUUGCAUUUCAUUCAUCCCUCAUCUGGCUUAUCCCAUUAAACCAGUAAAUAAUGAAUCCUUAAUUUGUAAACUUGUAGGGUAUACAACAUUCCAUCCCAGUGAAAAGGUACUUGUUUAAUCCAUGGAAAACAUACUUUAAUGAAAUAGAAAACAUUUUUUUGAAAUUGAUGUUUCAUCAUCACUAAAGUAAUGUCUUUUCCAUGUCUUCUAGCAUUCCUCCUCUUCUAUAACUCCCAUAUUAGCAAAGCUGGUACUGCUUUAAAGAGUCUUCUAAUCUUAGGAUUUCCUUCGUAGAUCCACCACAUAUGAAUUGCCUGGUGUAGAGUAAGACCCUCUAUGUUUAGACCUGCACAUAUAGCAAAAUGACAGAUUAAAUUAAUCAAUGAAUUAAACUUUUUAGAAAUUUAAGUUAAUUAAUUAGUGUUAGUAGUUCUAACAUGAAGAAUUAAAUAAGAUGUAAUGGUAGAUUUUAAAAUUAAAUCGAGGAGUGCAAUUUAGUAAAAUAAUUUAUAAUUUACUGUGAUAUGGAAAUUUGUUCAUUUUGCAAAUUAAUAUCAUAAUUGAAAGUCUCAAUUAAUAAAUUUGUUAUCCCUACUACGCCUGAUUAACUAAUCAAAUUUGAAAAAGAAAAGAAUCCUUAUAGCAGAAGUAAUUUCAUUUACCGGUCUUAUAUAAUCAUCAAGGAAUAAAAGCAAAAAUCAGUUUUGACAUUAAGGCUAAAAAGUUUUUGGCAUUAAGGCUGAAAGCAUUUUUUUAGCAUUAUGACUGAAAAUGUGUUGCCUAUUGACUUUCUUUCUCAAUAUAAUUUGGGAGUAAAUAAGGGCUAGUUUUUGAUAGAAAGAUCAUCCUUUUUCCAACAAAUAAAGUCACUUACCCACACAAGUUUUCUUUUAAUUAGAAAGUUAGUCAAGAAUUAGUAGAAGGCUUCAGACCUAACAAGUAAGACGAAUAAGGUGUUGAACGAAUUAUAUAAAAUUUCAAACAGGUAUGUAUGUGAUUUUGAAUUAUUGUUCUAGUUUAUAUUAUCUAGAUUUUAUUUAAGUUAGAUUGAUUCAUGAGAAUAGCUUCUGAUGUGCAUGUUCUAACAAUUGGUACCAGUAGUCAUCUUACAUAUGCUAGAUAAUGUAAAAAGAGAUUUUAUGAUUUCUAGACAUGUUUUAUUAAUUAAAUAGUUGUAUAAACUAUGAUAUUGCUGAUUGUUGACGAUGUUAAAGGUUUUUGUAAGCUUAGUUUAUCAUCAGUAAAAUAGAAACGAAUUUUACAUAUUUUUUCAUAAAUUUUUUGAAAACUAAUUUUAGGAAUUAAGAAAAAAAUCGUGAAGAAUUAUGACUAUGCCCAACUAUAGUCAUUACUCACAUGCUUAACGACAAGUAUGGUGGCAAGGCAAAGCUAUUUGGACAAUCCGUGUCACCCUCACCUAUAGUCUUGCUGAUGAAUGUCAAAAUAAUUUUUUCUGAAUUAAGGAAAAAAUCAUAAGGACUUUUGAAUUUGCCUAACUACCUCUGUUACUUUCAAGCAUUGACAAGUAGCAUGGUGGUAAGGCCAAGUUGCACGGUAACACUAUUAACCCUCGGAAGCAGCCUAGCUGAUGAUUUUCAAUUUGGUCAAUUUUAGACUUUUUUAAAUUUUGAUGAACCCUGAUUGACCUAAAAUUUGAUAGGUUUAUUAAAAAUAGCACACUAAGCCAUACUCACUGCUUUGUCGUAGCCUAGGCCCUUUUUUCAUUCAGAGCCAUUUUAAUUUUUUUUGGCAUUUUUGAAUCUCUGUGAAAUUAAAAAUUCUAAAAAAAUUAAUUUUUGCAAAUCAGUGGUGAUAGGGUUCAUUCCUUAUGAUUUUCAAUGGUUAAUUACAGUAAAUAAUAUGAGUUUACAUAUUAAUAUAGGCCAUCUUUUCCAUCAGAUAAACUUGUGUAGUGUAGUACUGUUUUUAAUCUCUUGUUUUGAUGACUUGUAUUAACUUUUCAACUAAGUUACAUGUUGGUUCAAUGAUAUAUGAUAUUUUUCUAACUUAAAUUUAUAUUUUACUCUUUAACUGAGUUGGUUCUGUUUUAUUUAAAGAAUAAUAUAUCUGACAUUGCAUGUAUAUUUGUUUGAAUAGUUAAGUUUCACUAACGAAUCUAAUUGUUUAUAUGCAUGAUUAUAUGUGAUGUGAUUUUUAUGAUUUUAGUUAUUAUGCUACAUAACUAGUGAUCGAUUUUAAACAUAUAACAAAUUAACCAUGUCUUCGUUCAAUCCUUUAACCUCUAUCCUAAUCAAAAUAAACUGAAAGACCUUAAUUAUGUUGUCUGCAAAUAAAAUUUAGACAUUGUCCAUAAUGUUGAAGGUUUUAAAUUUGUGUUGGUUGACAAAUGUAUUGAAAAAUGGGAUGAUGCUACUGAUGAUCAGAUUAAAGUCUAUGAUAAGUGGAUUAAGACAGACGAAAUUGCAAGGUUCUAGAUUCUUGCCUCCAUAAAAAAUGUCUUGCAAGAUCAACAUCAGUCUAUGGCCUUUGCUUUUGAUAUGCUCAAAUCUCUCAAAGAGAUAUUCGGUG
RNAcentral lists this long non-coding RNA (3433 nucleotides) under Capsicum annuum. RNAcentral describes it as "long non-coding RNA (CANN_LNC002752)". The record is from RNAcentral. Lineage: Eukaryota; Viridiplantae; Streptophyta; Magnoliopsida; Solanales; Solanaceae.